GAGUUUGAUCCUGGCUCAGAGCGAACGCUGGCGGCAGGCCUAACACAUGCAAGUCGAACGGCUCUUCGGAGCAGUGGCGGACGGGUGAGUAACGCGUGGGAACGUGCCCUUUGGUUCGGAACAACACAGGGAAACCUGUGCUAAUACCGGAUGUGCCCUUCGGGGGAAAGAUUUAUCGCCAUUGGAGCGGCCCGCGUUGGAUUAGGUAGUUGGUGGGGUAAAGGCCCACCAAGCCUACGAUCCAUAGCUGGUCUGAGAGGAUGAUCAGCCACACUGGGACUGAGACACGGCCCAGACUCCUACGGGAGGCAGCAGUGGGGAAUCUUGCGCAAUGGGCGAAAGCCUGACGCAGCCAUGUCGCGUGAAUGAUGAAGGUCUUAGGAUUGUAAAAUUCUUUCACCGGGGAAGAUAAUGACGGUACCCGGAGAAGAAGCCCCGGCUAACUUCGUGCCAGCAGCCGCGGUAAUACGAAGGGGGCUAGCGUUGCUCGGAAUUACUGGGCGUAAAGGGCGCGUAGGCGGACAGUUUAGUCAGAGGUGAAAGCCCAGGGCUCAACCUUGGAAUUGCCUUUGAUACUGGCUGUCUUGAGUUCGGGAGAGGUGAGUGGAAUGCCGAGUGUAGAGGUGAAAUUCGUAGAUAUUCGGCGGAACACCAGUGGCGAAGGCGACUCACUGGCCCGAUACUGACGCUGAGGCGCGAAAGCGUGGGGAGCAAACAGGAUUAGAUACCCUGGU
Molecule: ribosomal RNA, 734 nt
Filed under: uncultured bacterium
Lineage: Bacteria
Description: bacterial SSU rRNA
Rfam family: Bacterial small subunit ribosomal RNA
Source: RNAcentral